RNAcentral lists this small nucleolar RNA (84 nucleotides) under Oryza sativa (Asian cultivated rice). Its description in RNAcentral is "Z153b small nucleolar RNA". Lineage: Eukaryota; Viridiplantae; Streptophyta; Magnoliopsida; Poales; Poaceae. The record is from RNAcentral.
GCUGCCUAAAUGAUGACAUUCUUUGGAAAGCUAUGGAUUCUUUUCCAAGUGAAGCCUUUUGUCAUAGUUACACUGAUAGGCUAC